RNAcentral lists this unclassified non-coding RNA (301 nucleotides) under plant metagenome. RNAcentral describes it as "partial contains 5.8S ribosomal RNA, internal transcribed spacer 2, and large subunit ribosomal RNA". The stretch from base 1 to 105 matches the Rfam family "5.8S ribosomal RNA", at positions 50 to 154 of the family's 154-position model. The record is from RNAcentral.
GAAAUGCGAUAAGUAGUGUGAAUUGCAGAAUUCAGUGAAUCAUCGAAUCUUUGAACGCACAUUGCGCCCUAUGGUAUUCCGUAGGGCAUGCCUGUUCGAGCGUCAUUUACACCUUCAAGCCUUGCUUGGUGUUGGGUGACUGUGGCCCCUUUGGGGCCACUCGCCUUAAAGUCAUUGGCGGCCGGUUCGUUGGCUUUGUAGCGCAGCACAAUUGUGUCCUCGAAGCCGCUGGACCAGCUCCCAGAAGCUAAUUUUAAAUGUUUGACCUCGAAUCAGGUAGGGAUACCCGCUGAACUUAAGC